This 253-nucleotide ribosomal RNA is filed under the name uncultured bacterium. Its description in RNAcentral is "partial 16S ribosomal RNA". It matches the Rfam family "Bacterial small subunit ribosomal RNA", at positions 524 to 776 of the family's 1533-position model. The record is from RNAcentral.
UACGGGGGGGGUAAGCGUUGUUCGGAAUUACUGGGCGUAAAGGGCUCGUAGGCGGCCAACUAAGCCAGACGUGAAAUCCCUCAGCUUAACUGGGGAACUGCGUCUGGGACUGGAUGGCUUGAGUGCAGGAGAGGAACGCGGAAUUCCAGGUGUAGCGGUGAAAUGCGUAGAUAUCUGGAGGAACACCGGUGGCGAAGGCGGCGUUCUGGACUGCAACUGACACUGAGGAACGAAAGCCAGGGGAGCAAACGGG